ACAGAUCGUUCAGAGUUUGAUCCUGGCUCAGGAUGAACGCUAGCGAUAGGCCUAACACAUGCAAGUCGAGGGGCUGCACAUGAAGUAGCAAUACUGAUGGUGGCGACCGGCGCACGGGUGAGUAACACGUAUGCAACCUACCUUCAACUGGGGAAUAACCCGUCGAAAGACGGACUAAUACCCCAUAACACAGGGCUCCCGCAUGGGAAUAUUUGUUAAAGAUUAAUCGGUUGUAGAUGGGCAUGCGUUCCAUUAGCUAGUUGGUCGAGGUAACGGCUCACCAAGGCAACGAUGGAUAGGGGAACUGAGAGGUUUAUCCCCCACACUGGUACUGAGACACGGACCAG
This 347-nucleotide ribosomal RNA is filed under the name uncultured bacterium. RNAcentral describes it as "bacterial SSU rRNA". It matches the Rfam family "Bacterial small subunit ribosomal RNA", at positions 1 to 334 of the family's 1533-position model. The record is from RNAcentral.